Molecule: unclassified non-coding RNA, 353 nt
Filed under: soil metagenome
Description: partial contains 5.8S ribosomal RNA, internal transcribed spacer 2, and large subunit ribosomal RNA
Rfam family: 5.8S ribosomal RNA (bases 1-120)
Source: RNAcentral
GAUGAAGAACGCAGCGAAAUGCGAAAAGUAGUGUGAAUUGCAGAAUUCAGUGAAUCAUCGAAUCUUUGAACGCACAUUGCGCCCCCUGGUAUUCCGGGGGGCAUGCCUGUCCGAGCGUCAUUGCUGCCCAUCAAGCACGGCUUGUGUGUUGGGUCGUCGUCCCCCCCUCCGGGGGGGGACGGGCCCUAAAGGCAGCGGCGGCACCGCGUCCGAUCCUCGAGCGUAUGGGGCUUUGUCACCCGCUCUGUAGGCCCGGCCGGCGCUUGCCGAACGCAAAACAACCAUUCUUUCCAGGUUGACCUCGGAUCAGGUAGGGAUACCCGCUGAACUUAAGCAUAUCAAUAAGCGGAGGA